Molecule: long non-coding RNA, 468 nt
Organism: Copidosoma floridanum
Lineage: Eukaryota; Metazoa; Arthropoda; Insecta; Hymenoptera; Encyrtidae
Source: RefSeq, a predicted model, not a curated record
AACUAUAUUAAAUAUUUGCUGUGUUUACGAAUAGAUGAUAAAUACAGGAAGUGCAAGAAUCUAAUCAUAGAAAAGGAAUGCAUUAACUUAUUUUAUCUAGAUAUUAGAGUUUCAGUAAAUACUAAACGUCUUGCGCAUAGUUGUACUCAAUUCAGCAAAAACACAAAACCGAAAUUCCAUAUUUUAAAAACACCUUUGUUUCCGUUUGUGACAGCCAUAAAAGUCUGCAGGACUUGAAACUUUUACCAAUCCAACGACCUCAAUCUCUUUGAUUUUUGCCGACAAAUUUAGAACAUAGUUAGUAAUUGUUACAUCAUGCACUUAUAAAAGUACACCAUGACGACAAACCACUUUAUAAACAAUAAUCUAAGUUAUUGUUUUUGUCCCUAUAUUGGAUGAGAAAAAAGCUUCUACCCAUUCACUACAGUUAUCCAUCGCAAGCAGGAGAUCUUUAUUGCUUAUCGAAGA